Molecule: ribosomal RNA, 266 nt
Filed under: uncultured Staphylococcus sp.
Lineage: Bacteria; Bacillati; Bacillota; Bacilli; Caryophanales; Staphylococcaceae
Description: partial 16S ribosomal RNA
Rfam family: Bacterial small subunit ribosomal RNA
Source: RNAcentral
CGGCGGACGGGUGAGUAACACGUGGGUAACCUACCUAUAAGACUGGGACAACUUCGGGAAACCGGAGCUAAUACCGGAUAAGAUAUCGAACCGCAUGGUUCGAUAGUGAAAGAUGGUUUUGCUAUCACUUAUAGAUGGACCCGCGCCGUAUUAGCUAGUUGGUGAGGUAACGGCUCACCAAGGCAACGAUACGUAGCCGACCUGAGAGGGUGAUCGGCAACACUGGAACUGAGACACGGUCCAGACUCCUACGGGAGGCAGCAGCC